GACCUACCCCAUCUGCCAGCACCGCCAUGGCCCCUGCCACUACUGUGUCUCCUUUCUCUCUACAUCUUCCCUCUUAUCUUCUCCAUCUUCAUUGCCUCUGUCGUCUUCUUUCUCUGAUCCUCCGAUCUCGAUUUUUAGAUUGUCUGCCUCCACCUCGAUCACCUCCAUGUCUCCCCACCACCCCACAUCGCUAUCGACGUCUCUCUCGGUCUCAAGAUCCAAGUCCGAAACUAGGACUUCUUCAAAAGGUAAAGAAUCGAGAAAUUCUAGAGGAGG
Molecule: long non-coding RNA, 276 nt
Filed under: Elaeis guineensis (African oil palm)
Lineage: Eukaryota; Viridiplantae; Streptophyta; Magnoliopsida; Arecales; Arecaceae
Description: long non-coding RNA (EGUI_LNC006008)
Source: RNAcentral